UCUUCUUGUAACAUAGGGUGCACAUCCUUCUUAUAGGCUUGCCCUCCUGAUUCUUUCGUAUCACCAAAUGGUGGGGCACCUUCUUCGUUUUCUUCCGAUGGUUGCCGGACACACUAUUUUCUGAGAACACAUUGAACCAUUCGGAAACGAGAAUUUCCCGAAAUUUUCUUAUCGGUAUUUUUUUUUUUUUUUUUUUUUUUUUUUUUUUUUUUUUUUUUUUUUUUUUUUUUCAUUUGUUUUUUUAAAAAGAAUAAAAC
This 257-nucleotide unclassified non-coding RNA is filed under the name Bombus terrestris (buff-tailed bumblebee). RNAcentral describes it as "misc RNA ENSBTSG00005025242.1". The record is from RNAcentral. Lineage: Eukaryota; Metazoa; Arthropoda; Insecta; Hymenoptera; Apidae.